RNAcentral lists this ribosomal RNA (484 nucleotides) under uncultured bacterium. RNAcentral describes it as "partial 16S ribosomal RNA". It matches the Rfam family "Bacterial small subunit ribosomal RNA", at positions 30 to 507 of the family's 1533-position model. The record is from RNAcentral.
AUUGAACGCUGGCGGCAGGCCUAACACAUGCAAGUCGAGCGGAUGAAGGGAGCUUGCUCCUGGAUUCAGCGGCGGACGGGUGAGUAAUGCCUAGGAAUCUGCCUGGUAUUGGGGGAUAACGUCCGGAAACGGGCGCUAAUACCGCAUACGUCCUGAGGGAGAAAGUGGGGGAUCUUCGGACCUCACGCUAUCAGAUGGGCCUAGGUCGGAUUAGCUAGGUUGUGGGGUAAAGGCCUACCAAGGCGACGAUCCGUAACUGGUCUGAGAGGAUGAUUAGUCACACUGGAACUGAGACACGGUCCAGACUCCUACGGGAGGCAGCAGUGGGGAAUAUUGGACAAUGGGCGAAAGCCUGAUCCAGCCAUGCCGCGUGUGUGAAGAAGGUCUUCGGAUUGUAAAGAACUUUAAGUUGGGAGGAAGGGCAGUAAGUUAAUACCUUGCUGUUUUGACGUUACCAACAGAAUAAGCACCGGCUAACUUCGUG